AACGAACGCUGGCGGCAGGCUUAACACAUGCAAGUCGAGCGCCCCGCAAGGGGAGCGGCAGCCGGGUGAGUAACGCGUGGGAACGUACCUUUUGGUUCGGAACAACUCCGGGAAACUGGAGCUAAUACCGGAUAAGCCCUAACGGGGAAAGAUUUAUCGCCGAAAGAUCGGCCCGCGUCUGAUUAGCUAGUUGGUGAGGUAACGGCUCACCAAGGCGACGAUCAGUAGCUGGUCUGAGAGGAUGAUCAGCCACACUGGGACUGAGACACGGCCCAGACUCGGAGGGGAGGAGGGAGGGGGGAAUAGUGGACAAGGGGGGAAGGCCUGACCCAGCCAGGCCGGGGGAGUGAUGAAGGCUUUGGGGUUGAAACGCUUUUUUGUCCGGGAAGAUAAUGACGGUACCGAAAAAAUAAGCCCCGGCUAACUUCGUG
Molecule: ribosomal RNA, 431 nt
Filed under: uncultured bacterium
Lineage: Bacteria
Description: partial 16S ribosomal RNA
Rfam family: Bacterial small subunit ribosomal RNA
Source: RNAcentral